Molecule: transfer RNA, 76 nt
Filed under: Nocardiopsis alba
Lineage: Bacteria; Bacillati; Actinomycetota; Actinomycetes; Streptosporangiales; Nocardiopsidaceae
Also listed under: 6 other names
Description: tRNA-Arg
Rfam family: tRNA
About the family: Transfer RNA (tRNA) molecules are approximately 80 nucleotides in length. Their secondary structure includes four short double-helical elements and three loops (D, anti-codon, and T loops).
Source: RNAcentral
GCACCCGUAGCUCAGUGGAUAGAGCACCGGACUUCUAAUCCGACGGUCGCAGGUUCGAAUCCUGCCGGGUGCGCCA